AGUCGAAGUUGGACCAAUAUCUAUAGGGUCGAUUAGAAAAGAAGCUCUCCAAGCUAAAGAGACCGAGGCUCGAGUCGAUGAAGAAGGAAACUAUGCUCGAGAUAGUUGUAAGAUU
Long non-coding RNA from Cucurbita moschata (crookneck pumpkin), 115 nucleotides. RefSeq lists it as uncharacterized. The transcript is spliced from 2 exons. Lineage: Eukaryota; Viridiplantae; Streptophyta; Magnoliopsida; Cucurbitales; Cucurbitaceae. The record is from RefSeq and is a predicted model, not a curated record.